AUUGAACGCUGGCGGCAGGCUUAACACAUGCAAGUCGAACGAGUGGCGGACGGGUGAGUAAUGCUUGGGCAUCUGGCUGAUGGAGGGGGAUAACUGCGGGAACCUGUAGCUAAUACCGCGUACAAUAGGAUGAGCCCAAGUGGGAUUAGGGAGUUGGUGUGGUAACGGCUCACCAAGCCGACGAUCCCUAGCUGGUCUGAGAGGAUGACCAGCCACACUGGAACUGAGACACGGCCCAGACUCCUACGGGAGGCAGCAGUGGGGAAUAUUGCGCAAUGGGGGCAACCUGACGCAGCCAUGCCGCGUGAAUGAAGAAGGCCUUCGGGUUGUAAAGUUCUUUCGGUAGAGAGGCGUUACCUACAGAAGAAGCACCGGCUAACUCCGUGCCAGCCGCCGCGGUAAUAC
This 405-nucleotide ribosomal RNA is filed under the name uncultured bacterium. RNAcentral describes it as "partial 16S ribosomal RNA". It matches the Rfam family "Bacterial small subunit ribosomal RNA", at positions 30 to 526 of the family's 1533-position model. The record is from RNAcentral.